Molecule: ribosomal RNA, 761 nt
Filed under: marine metagenome
Description: bacterial SSU rRNA
Rfam family: Bacterial small subunit ribosomal RNA
Source: RNAcentral
AAGUGUGGGGAGCAAACAGGAUUAGAUACCCUGGUAGUCCACACCAUAAACUAUGGACACUAGAUAUGGGGAGUAUCGACCCUCUCCGUGUCGUAGCUAACGCGUUAAGUGUCCCGCCUGGGGAGUACGGCCGCAAGGCUAAAACUCAAAGGAAUUGACGGGGGCCCGCACAAGCAGCGGAGCGUGUGGUUUAAUUCGAUGCAAAACGAAGAACCUUACCAAGGCUUGACAUGCUGGAAGUAGUGAACCGAAAGGGGAUCGACCUGUUAAGUCAGGAGCCAGCACAGGUGCUACAUGGCUGUCGUCAGCUCGUGCCGUGAGGUGUUUGGUUAAGUCCUGCAACGAGCGCAACCCUUAUUGCUAGUUGUCUUUUCUAGCGAGACUGCCCCGCAAAACAGGGAGGAAGGUGGGGAUGACGUCAAGUCAGCACGGCCCUUAUGCCUUGGGCUACACACACGCUACAAUGGGUGGUACAGUAGGUUGCAAUGGAGCGAUCCGGAGCUAAUCCCUAAAGCCAUCCUCAGUUCAGAUUGCAGGCUGAAACUCGCCUGCAUGAAGUCGGAGUUGCUAGUAAACGCGUAUCAGCAUGGCGCGUUGAAUACGUUCUCGGGCCUUGUACACACCGCCCGUCACGUCAUGAAAGUCGGCAACACCUGAAGUCGAUGGGCUAACCCCGACUUGUCGGGGGGGCAGUCGCCGAGGGUGGGGCUGGUGAUUGGGACGAAGUCGUAACAAGGUAGCCGUAGCGGAAGCUGCGGCUG